Salmo salar (Atlantic salmon) is the source of this 58-nucleotide non-coding RNA. Lineage: Eukaryota; Metazoa; Chordata; Actinopteri; Salmoniformes; Salmonidae. The record is from Rfam.
UGGCUCAGUUGGUAGAGCAUGGUGUUUGCAACGCCAGGGUUGUGGGUUUGAUUCUCAU